Molecule: ribosomal RNA, 474 nt
Filed under: Ceracris kiangsu (yellow-spined bamboo locust)
Lineage: Eukaryota; Metazoa; Arthropoda; Insecta; Orthoptera; Acrididae
Description: partial 16S ribosomal RNA
Rfam family: Archaeal large subunit ribosomal RNA
Source: RNAcentral
CAAAAACAUGUCCUUUUGAUAAUAUUUUAAGGUCUGGUCUGCUCACUGAUUUUUUAAAGAGCCGCGGUAUAUUGACCGUGCAAAGGUAGCAUAAUCAUUAGUCUCUUAAUUAGAGGCUGGAAUGAAUGGCUUGACGAAGGAUCUACUGUCUCUUAAUAAAAUUUAUAAUUUAACUUUUAAGUUAAAAGGCUUAAAUUUUUCUUUAGGACGAGAAGACCCUAUAGAGCUUAACAUUUAAUUUAUAUAUAUAUAUUUAGUUUGUCUUUUUGUAUAUUUUGUUAAUGUUUUGUUGGGGUGACAUGAAGAAUAAAUAAACUCUUCAUUUUAAAAUCAUUGAUUUAUGUAUGUUUUGAUCCAUAAUUUAUGAUCAUAAGAUUAAGUUACCUUAGGGAUAACAGCGUAAUUGUUUUUAAGAGCUCGUAUCAACAAAGCAGAUUGCGACCUCGAUGUUGGAUUAAGAAAAGUUUUGAGUGC